Molecule: long non-coding RNA, 4172 nt
Organism: Homo sapiens (human)
Lineage: Eukaryota; Metazoa; Chordata; Mammalia; Primates; Hominidae
Gene: C5orf64
Product: chromosome 5 putative open reading frame 64
Source: Ensembl
GCUUCAUGGUCUUGCUGCGCCCUGGAGAUCUAGGGGUGAAACGGGUCGAGUCUGUCCUCUCCCAGAGCUUAAGGUGCACUGAAAGAGUUUGAUUACUCAGUCAAAACCUAAGUAUCCUGUUGGGAGAAGAACACUCAUUUUAGUGGCACUGUUCUAUUCUUUGGAUGAAUUGAAUAGUUACUAAUCCAGCCACAGAAGAAAGACACAGGAGAGGCUGAAACAUCACCUCUUGAGGGUCUCCUUUCUGGUGAUUUAUUCAGAUAUUGGCACAUGUGACUCAAUAAUGGCCAAUACUAUGUGAAGGGACAUCUUCUGGGGAGUCUUCCUCCUUUUCUUCCGGAUUCUUUGUGUCUGAAUGUGAUGCCUGGAGAUGCAACAGCAGUCUCACUACCAGCACGAGGAUGAAGCUGAUACCCAGUGUUCAGAAAACUCAUUAGCUUCCAACCUCCUCAAUUAGGCAGAACAAACAUGCAUUACUCCAAAUUGCCCCGCACUGCGAUAGAGACAGAGUUCAAGCAGAAUGUUGGCCCACCACCCAAGGAUCUGACCGCUGAAGUUUACUUCCCUUCAAUCAAAUCGAGAUCACAUCUUCCUGCAGUUUUCUAUAAUCAGUAUUUCAAGCAUCCAAAAUGUGUAGGAGAAUAUGGACCCAAGAACGGAGCAGAGAGACAAAUAGAGGAACGGAAAGUUUUGCCUACAACCAUGAUGUUCUCAAUGUUAGCUGACUGUGUUCUAAAAUCCACUCCAAUUCCCAUUUUGGGAGUUGCUAUGUGAUGAAGGUCUGCCCCUGUGGUGUUGGGACAACUUGCUCAUGGAGUUGCAGUUCUUGCCUAACAGGAACCCACCAUGAGCUGCCUCCUGCCCCUGAGGGGAGGAGUCCAUCCUCUUCUAUAGGAUACACCUGUUGGCUUGUUUGUCCUUCCUUCCCCUUUCUGGGAAUUGUUCUCCAUCAACAUGUUUAUGGGGACAGCCAUUUCUAUACAAUGUGACCUGUAUUGAUCUAUUUUGUGUUGCUAUAAAUAAAUACCUGAGGCUGGUAAUUUUUAAAGAAGAGAGGUUAAUUUGGCCCAUAAUUCUGCAGGCUGUACAAGAAGCAUGGCACCAGCAUCUGCUUCUGGUGAGGCCGCAGGAAGCUUCCACUCAUGGUGGAAGGUGGAGGAGGAGCAGGCGUGUUAUAUGGCAAGAGCGAGAGCAAGAGAGAGAGCAGAAGGUGUCAGGCAACCAGCUCUCAUGUGAACUAAUGAGCAAGGACUCACUCAUCACCAAGGGGAUGGCCCCAGCCAUUCCUGAGAGAUCCGCCCCCUAACCCAAACACCUCCCACCAAGCCCCACCUCCAAGACUGGCGGUCAAAUUUUAACAUGAGACCUUCAUUAUCAAUGUUUGUGUAUCUACACAUCCAAAGUAGAUCAUCAUCUUUGGUCUUUGGGAGAUACACCAGAGAAAAACAACUCCUCUGGCCUGGGAGAUUUUGACUUUCUGCUUUUCAUGUGUGUUUGCUUUUAUCGAAGAGGGAAUCUGCUACUUGCCUGAUGCAACUGCAUUUGGAUACUGAACUGGGGCCCAAAGAGUCUCAAAUCACUGCCUGGGAAUGCCAAUUUCUCAUCAUGAAUUAGAAAUCAAUUCUAGCAGCCUCCCUGCUAAGUAAAAAAAUUACAUAAUUCUUUCUGCACUACUGCAUUAGGCUGAUUUUUUUUUUCCUUUUCCUGAAUGUACAGUAAAUCUCUAGUGGUUUAAGCCAUGGUGCCUCUGCUUAAACACAAUAUGAAAUCGCUACCAAAUUUAAAUAAAAAAUAAAUUCUGUGUUGUGUUAGGAGUCUCUCCUGCCAAAAACUCUCACACAAUUAACACACUAACAGAAUGUGUUGCUAAUUUCAUGCCACUGGAGUCUUUUCUGCUUCAGAAUAUAGAAACAAAAUCAGGUCAGAGCUCCAAUAAUAACAGGAUUUUGUUAAAAUAUACAGCCCUGUGUUGUAGAUACGUUGUAAGAAUGGGUGAAAAGGGGACUCACAGUGAUGCACGAAAUAGCUCACUACUGCAAAUAGAAGUGGGAGAACUUGUCUCCAGCUUCUUUGCAGAGAGAGAGAGGGGGAGAGAGGAGAGAGAGGGUGGAGAGAGAUUAGGGGAGAGAGGUAGAGAGAGAGAGAGGAAGAGAGACUGAGAGAGAGGGAGACGGGUAGAGGGAGAGGAGAGAGAGAGGAUGGGAGAAAGGGAAAGAGGAGAGAGAGAGGGAGACAAGAAGAGAGAGGGAGAAAGGAGAGAGAGGAUAGAGAGAGAGAAAGAGAGAGGAGAGAGAGUUAGGAGAAAGAUAGGGAGAGAGAAGAGAGGGAUAGGGACAGAGAGGCAGCGAGGAGAGAGAGAAGCAAGAGACAGGGAGAGAGGAGAGAGAGAAGGAGGGAGAGAGAAAAGGAGGGACAGAGAGAGAAGGAGGUAGAGAGGGAGAAAGAAGAGGACGGAGAAAGAUAAAAAGAGAGAGGAGAGAGAGGUAGAGAGAAAGAGAGAGAGGAGAGAGAGGUGGGGGGAGAGAAGUAGAGAAAGAGGGAAGAAAGAGAGGCUAGGAGAGAGACAGGGAGAAGAGAGAGGAAAGAGGGACAGAGGGAGAGAGAGAAAGAGAGAGAGAAGAGAGGCAGAGAGAGAGAGUUAGUUCAGCUCGGUCCAAGCCCAGACCCACCAGGUUCUGUGGGAAAGGGUUUCAUUAUCAAUGUUAGUCCAUCCAGACAUCCGCAUACUUUUACAGGGGGAGGCAAACGCCAGGCAAAGAAACUAGGGAAACACAAGCCCAAUAAAUCACAGCUAGGAUUCUGAUUCCCCUGGUUCAUUCUGAGGCUUCCUCCCUCCACCUCUUAGCCUUCUUACACUGGGCCUCUUCUUUUCCAUAACAAAAACAGCGAUAAUGAAAAUAUUUUGGCAGCAUUGAAGGCCUUUCACAUUGUGACCCUGACCUCCAAAUCAAUUUUCUUUAUUCUUAACCUGACCUUGGCAUCCAUUCUCCCUGGCGUUCAAUAUUAGUUACAAAAUCUUGAACUCCCCGAGACCUUCCCUCCUCCCCAGAUAACCAAGGCAGGCCACACUGGGGAAGCUCUGACGAGGACAGAGAGAGAAGGCUUCUCGACAAAGAAAAAUCAUAACGAGAUGAACAAGCCCGAUGCCUUCUAUAGGAGUCUCAUUUGCACCAAAUGCUAUUAGCCCCAUUAUUUACUCAGACAACGGUGCAGGCAGCCUGGGCUCCCUGCUUGCGCGGGGCGCUGUGGAGAGCACCAUGCAUCACCAGCCGGCCCGGGCGCUUCCCUUAAAUAGUAAUAUGUAAGGUAGAGCAUGUUACAUUUCAUCCAUCACCCAUGGGCUCACCGAGCGCAGAGACUGGAGAAAUUGCGCACAUUUCUCCGUUGCUGCAUUAAUACUAGAAAGGGAGUGAACUGAACAGAGAAAGUGCCAAUUUCAGCACACAUGUUAAAAAGAGAAGCAAAGAAUAGCAGAAAAAGAAAGCAUCUCCCGUACUGAGAUGCUGGGGUGUGGGGGAGGUUUUUAAAGGAGAAGACUGCUUUUCAGAACUCCUGUGCAUUGACUAUGAGAAUAAGGACCCACUGAGACAAGAGUUCGGGGUCAGCAUACAUUUAGGAGAAGAAGUUGGCUGGCAGGGGCUAUUUUUCUGCAAAUUAGUUUUCUCUCAAGGGUAACGGUGGGGGAGGAGCAGAGGAAAAUGAAUUGGAGCCCGUUGAAUAAUCGCGUAUUGUUCGGCCGGUUGCGGUGACCUAUGAACUGAUGCUCCGAGAAGUGUUUUCAGGCCUUCCUUUUAUAUGGGCGAGGAUGGGAAGCCUCUUACAGCUGUUGACGAGUGUCCUGAAGGGGCAACGAUGGGGAUGGCAGUGUGGCCCCACGAACAAUGGUCACAGAGCAUCGGCUCCACUUGGCAAGAGAGGCACCGUCUGCUGGUCGGUACAGCUGACCGCAGGGCUGGACAGGUGGCCAGGCAGGAAGGCGAGAAGAGGCACGGUUCAAACUUUAUGCUGAUCACAAAGAAUUGAGAAAAGGGGCAAAGUGAAGAAAUACAGUGUAGCAGGACGCGAUGGAUCGACUUUCCUUGGGGAUUAGAAGGAGCAAGAGCUCUGCAGUGAUUCAAACAGUUCAGUGCAAAUGGAAUUCUUCUAGGAUGUUUACAAAAUAAAAGUGAAUC